GUGAUUCUGAAGGUGUUUCAGGAUAUUUCGCUAAGUAAUUUAUGAAAGGGAAAACUAUUUUUCAUGAGCAUCAGAGGAGAGAUAUUGUACCCACUCUUCAGAGACAGAAACUGAAAUUCAAAGAGAAUUUUUAAAUGCAAGCUUAAAUGGAUCCUGCAGCCAUAGAGAAAUAAAUUCUGCCUGAGGGAGCUUGCAAGUGAAUCUUCCCAGGCUCACCUGAGAAUGCAUGAUGAGAGUGCAGCCCAGCAGCCACCUUGACUGCAGCCUUGUGAGACAUCAAGCAGAGGACCCAACUAAGUUGUGCCCACACUUCUGACUCACAGAUACUUUGAAAUAAUAAAAGUACAUUGUUU
Molecule: long non-coding RNA, 353 nt
Filed under: Pan troglodytes (chimpanzee)
Lineage: Eukaryota; Metazoa; Chordata; Mammalia; Primates; Hominidae
Description: long non-coding RNA NONPTRT003360
Source: RNAcentral